AAUAAGUGCAGCCAUGAGUUUUCGUGUCCAACUUUGAUCGUCCGUCUUAUUUAAAUUUUUUUUAUAAUUAGCAUUUUUGUUGUUAUAAGAUGAUAAAACAUGAAUAGUACUUUACUCGUGAAUUAUGUUUUUAAUUUUUUUAAAAAAAUUUUCAAAUAAGACGAACGGUCAGAGUUGAACGCGGAAAACCAUGGCUGCACUUAUU
Non-coding RNA from Oryza barthii, 205 nucleotides. The record is from Rfam. NCBI's taxonomy places the organism in Eukaryota, Viridiplantae, Streptophyta, Magnoliopsida, Poales, Poaceae.